Molecule: non-coding RNA, 3660 nt
Organism: Triticum urartu
Lineage: Eukaryota; Viridiplantae; Streptophyta; Magnoliopsida; Poales; Poaceae
Source: RefSeq, a predicted model, not a curated record
AGCACGCACGCAACCUCUCCCUUUCCUCGUUUUACCUUCCCACGGGUGGGUAGCUAGGGUUGCCGCCGCCGCCCCAUCGGCCCAUACCAACUCCUCCGGCGCCGUCCACGGGAGAAGGCACCUCCUCAGAUUCGCUUCUCUUCCAAACCUUCUCGCCUUAGCGUUCCACAUCGUCGCCAUGAUGGUUGCAGAUGAGGGGGAGGAAGGGGAUGCCAUCGAGGUGCCGACGAGGACAGAGGAGGGAGAAUCAGGUGAGGGCGGGUGCGAGAUCGCCGUAUCCCUGGCGAUCGGCGCCGUGCGGCGCCGGACUUCGCUGCGCUGGUGUCGCUCUACCCCUCCUUCGCCUCCUUUGUCACCGUGCCCGCGGGAGGCCGCCCGUCCGUUGACUUCGCCGCCACGCGAGAGCUCACACACGUCCUCCUCCUCGACGACCACGGCCUCAACUGCUUCAGGUUGCUGGCACCUAGGAGGGACGGGACAGCAAAAUCGGUGCUCAUCGAAGAUGGCGUUGGUACCACUUACCCGACAACACAGUUCUGCGGAAGCUUUUUCGUAUACCAAGACACUUCUCCGUACAUGAUGGAUACACACGCACGGAGUGAGCUUUUCUCUGCGGUUCUGGUGACCUGCGCACAGGGUCUCUGUUCCAUGAUGUUGCCAACGAGCAAGACGUGGAGACCGAUCAUGAGCCUCUCCUUUGACAUCAAAUUGUGUUCCAUCGAAAAAGCUUGGGUAUUCUUAUUCCAUCAAUUUUUGGAUGAUUGUCAAAAUCCCAUGAUAUGAUUUAGAACCUGACAUUAUAUUUUAUUGUAUGAUACAACUGUCUAAUACUCAUAAUGUGAGGGACACAGGAAGAGUAUUGGUCGCCGGCGAUGAAAGCAUUGGUUGGGGGGAGGCAUCGAUGUGAUAUUGAUGCCAAGGUGGGCUUUCCCAAUCUUGCUCUUUUUGUUGGGCGAUUCUGAUGCGGGUUCUUGAUUUAAUAUGUGAGUUGGGUAGUCUCGCGUCUACUCAUGUGAUCUUACUUUAUCAGAUUCUUCUUAGUUUAUGUUUUUGAUUCAAUCGUGCAUUUGUGGUACUUGAAGCGAUUGGUUAUUCCGCUUUAGUGUUGUGGAUCUGAUAGUCUGAACUUAAAAGUGAGGAGUUUUUUAAUGCAAACUUAUCAUCUAAAGAUCCUUUGGUUUUAAUGUGGCCCCUGACUGAUGAACUCUUGGUCCGCAAAUUAGAGUUAUUUAGCAGUUGAUUACAAGUCAUUGGUAGUGUAGUCUGUAGUGUAGUGUAGUGUUUUAACUUGAUGCUGUUGGUUUCCACAAAAAAAAGAUGGAAAACUAGCCAACAGGUCGGUCUCAGUACUAUUGAGCUGCUCGCAUGCAGUUUUGUGUGUGACAGUGGUAGUGCAAAGCCAGCAUCGUUUUUGUUUGGCACUAUAAAACAAUGAUAUCUUGAUGCUGAAGCAUUAUAUUGUUGUUUAAAUGAUACUAGGAUGGAUGCUGCUUAGUUGCCAAUUUGUCACUUGUGAAGAUUUUCACAUGCCGUAGUUUGGUAACAGGGGAUAUAAAACAUGUGGAUUUUUUAGCAUGUCGUAGUUGAUGACAGGGUAUAUGGUGAACUGACCACCUGCCUAUGCACAUAUUCGUUCACCCGGAGACCAUCGAUUGGUUUAUGAUAGUUUAUGCAAAAUGUAUCGUGCAUGUUCACAGAUUUUAUCCUAGGCCGUGUACCAAAAAAAUAGAGGUGACUUCAUCUUAAUCCGCCCCUCGCCACUUUGCACUUCAGGUGUUUAUAUACCUUUUCUCCUUAUCACGCCAUUUGUUGUUUUUCUUUGCACAUCUCAGCUUCACUGUUUUAGGUUAGGCACGACGAACAACAAGGAAAGCAUUCUGACCCACAGAGUGAAGUGUUUGCAAGCAAAUAUUUAAUGCAUACAAUUUGUUUCAAAUUACUUGUGAUUUCGAUGAUUUGACAAGUACAAACGUCUGGCGUUCUGCCUUUUGAUAUAACAUGUUAGGUCCUUAUUCGCUUCAUAUCCAUACGGGAGGGUAACACAUACUGAAAAUGUUAACCGUUCACCAAAAAUAUCUGUGACUCGAUACAUGUAUCCAAACUAAAUAGUUGUUUUCAUGCCGUCUAGAUUGUACUAAAUAUACUAAUAAUCAAUAUGCAAUUUUGGGCAAGGCCUAAAUGCUAUUAUAAAAUAUGAAAUGAUACCAUACAUGGUAUCUGAAUUUGGAAAUGAACCAGCAGAUCCACUUAUUCAAGUUUCAAUUUUUUCUUCUUUAGCUUUGCAUUUGCAAUUGAUGGUGUUACAGAAAACGGCCUCGAGCUUUUUGGACUACCUACUUGUGUAUAAAAGUUUUAGUCAAAGCUUAAAUUAUUAUAUUUUAAGGUUGUAGAGGUUGUAUGUUACGCCGGCUAAGACUAAAGAUUGUAAAUUCAUUGUUUAUCUUACCAGCGUUGUUCUCUUUGAAGAUAAUUGUAGAAACUAUAUUAUCAGUUCAUUGCUACUUUGUAUGUGACUUAUGCUAUCCUCAUAUAUGUGCUACUUUGUAUGUGACUUGUGCUAUCCUCAUAUAUGUCAAUACUGUAAUAUGAGCGUCUUGGUCCUUCUUAUACAACUUUUCUUGUUAUGCUCUCCAUCAGCCUCCUUUGCUCCCAUUGCUGUUGUCUGAUGUACAUUUUUUUGUUUUUAAGCAAAUUUGUCUUUUAGUUCUGAUUUUAUCUCCAUCCUCAAAUGUAACUUUGGUUUUCAGUUGAUCUGUCAACCAAAUUUCUUUUGACGGGAAGGCCUUAUGGCUAGCUUUAUUAAACUCAAAUCAAAAUUACGUCCUCUGCGAGAGGUCUCAGAAUAAACUCAGGCGGAGCCUCUAACCAUUGAGCAGGGUUAUUAGCACUACCCCAUCUAGCUAGCUCAUGUGCUACCACAUUUCAUAUAAUGUCAUAAUUUGUGCUGAUGUUCUGCAUAUCUGAGAAAGAAGAUAGUAUGAUAAGGCUAAAGGAGAAUUAUGGUGGAAAGCUUUCUUUUCUCUUGUUUGUGUGAUCCAGCUCUACAUCUAUGCUAACUUAUUGCCAUCUUCAUUUGAAGAUGAAGUUAACCAGUCCAUUAUUAUUCCUCUGAUUCAUUGGUUGUUCUAUGCCGAGAUCUUGCCCCAUCCCUGAGCUUGUUGAUUUUUUAGGGUUCUUAUGAAUCGUGCUCGUCGUUCAGUUCUGCAAUCCACCUUUAUUAAUGCAGUUACUUUUUGGGGCAUAUCUUCCUGCAUCUAAACGCCCUAUGUGUGUGUGUGUGUGUGUGUGUGUGUGAGCGAGCAAGCAGAUAGACGAGGAGGCCGAGCCAUCCUCGACAACAUCGUCACCGUCAGACCGAGGGCGCCGUGAGCAACCUGAGCCAUUAUCACCUUGUGGCGCCACCUAAGAGGAGUUGAGGCAAUGCCAGGUGGAAGACCGAGGGCGUCUGGAUGAAGCGAACGUGGCCAGUUCUUUUUGUCUCUAGCUAAGACGAUAUGGCGCCGAAACUUCAGAUUUUUGGUUUAUAAGUGCCGAGCAUAACUAUCCAUGGUGGUAUAUAUACAAUAGACAGACGUGUUAGGCUUCAAAACUGAAUGCAAUGAACCUAAUUACGGUAAUCCUUCUUUGCUGUUAACAGAUUGUACUAACCUCAUAAUUUCU